UCAGGUAAGCAGGAAGGGCCUCUGAAACACAGAAAACAGAAGUCCCUCAGAUUUGACAGUGUUUGAAAUGCCAGAUAGGAUCAAGGAGACAGGUAUGUUAUAAUACAGGUUCAUAUGACCUGUAAAACUGGUAAAGUCCUUCAGCACUGGAGAAAAUCUCGCUCGAUCAAAUCAUAUGUUUCCAGCUUCAUUCUAAUUGAGCUUAAAUCUGUACCUUUGCCCCUGUUCAGACUAGGACCAAGACCUCAAAGCCAUAGUCUGCAGCAAAGCAUCCAUUUCAGCUCACACCUAAUUCACUGCUUAAUUAGGGCAGCACUGGGAAAACUCUGCUUUUUGGUUUCCCUUUUUCUAUGGUGCCUGAUGACACUUGUGGCAGACCACGGUUCAGCACAAAGCAUUCAGAGGGGCUGAGCCCUCCUGGUGAUGCGAGGCAGGUUCAAGGUGAAGGUCUCCUUUGCUGGGGCUUUUCUUCUGUCUUCUGAGGUAAGUGACCUUGAUGCCAACACAAAGCUCUGCCCCAGGUUGCACCACUCACACCGCAGCCAUUUCCUUAGCUGAUGCUGGUGACUAGCGUCUGGCUGUUUAAUUUGGAAGAGCAAUAUGAAGGUCACUGAGGAAGAUAAUGCAGUCCUGUUGAUUGAACAUAUGGAUAAGGGCAUCACAAAAAACUUAAUCUACUUUGUUGGGGAUGCAAUAAAUCAGGUUUUUGUGUGCAGUUGGCAAGCACUACUUCUGAGUGUUACUCCAUCAGAUAAUCCAGACAGCAGAGUAAUUAUAUAUCCCUCUGGUCCCCUAAUAUGGCUUUAACCUAAGGAUUAGGUCAUUUUCAUAUUUGUAGAGUUUUCUAAAAUAAUGUUAAAUAUAACUCUUAUUUAUUUCCUACCUGUUUCCCGGUUUUUGUUCAUGAAAUACUUAUUCCUGUAACCAAGCAGAGGGUCCUGGUUUAACACCAAAUUAACUCUAGAAAAUUCACUCCAUCUCAGCUGAAAUCAGGACACAGAGGUAGUUUAAGGGGAAGAUUUGUGAUAUUCGAAAUGUUCAUGAAUGCCAUUGAAGAGGACACUGGUGAGGUCUCCUCCAGAAUAGCAUGCCCAGGUCUGGCCAUCUCCUGCUCCCAAGAGAUUAACUCCAGCAGAAACAAAUGCAAAGGAUGUAUGGAAUAUGGACAACCUAUCUGACAAGAAGGAAUUAGAUGCGUGAGCAAUUACUUGGCAACGUGAAAAGCUAGAUGAGUUUUCCAAGACUGGCUGACCAUGAGGUCAGCAAUAGUGUGAGCACUGGUGCAAUAUGGAGGAAGAAAUUUGACCGCCUUGUCAAGAUGCAGGAUCUGCCUGUGCCACUGGCUGGAGGGAGGAUGAAAAGUCUACCUCUGGCGUUACAGUAAUGACACUACCUGGUUUCCAGAAAAAGUAGGGCAUUGCACUGAAUUCAACCUCUCAUUCUUGAUAUGCCAUGUUCUUCCCACGCAAAGAAACUAAAGCACAGAGCCUGGCUGCACAACUGCUUGCUACAGAGAACAACAACUAUUCAUGAUGUAAGAAUGGGACCAUGAGUGGCCAGUCUAGAAGGGGAUUGAAGCAGUGCUACUGCCACAGGCUCAGGGUCCUGGUCCACUCCCACCCCAUAUGUAGGCACUGAUAUGGAGUUACCAGGGCAGGAGCAGUCAGUCUGCAGGAUACCUGGCUCUGCCAUACUCUCUCAGGCACAUGUCAGUUUCAAAUGGCUUUGGCCACCUCACCAGGCACUGGGAGAAACAGGUAUUACUAUCCCUUUGCAAGGUAAAGAAACCAACAGACAGAAGUUCAAAGAGUCAGAUAUUCUCAUGUGAAGUCACCAUUCCAUUGCUGUAUUUUAUUAUGGUCUAUUAGUUUUGUAUUGAAUUCUUGUUCUGAAUGAAAAGUCUUUUCUGGAAAUGAAGUAAAUAAACCAAGGCCAAGAUGG
Long non-coding RNA from Strigops habroptila (Kakapo), 1941 nucleotides. RefSeq lists it as uncharacterized. The transcript has 3 exons. Lineage: Eukaryota; Metazoa; Chordata; Aves; Psittaciformes; Psittacidae. The record is from RefSeq and is a predicted model, not a curated record.